GUCAGGUUUUUACAAGAUUAAGCAGUUAAAAAAGUCAAGAACAGAUGUACCACUUCAGACCAAGAAGUCGCCUAAUCCAGUAAACUGUUCUCAGUACCCAUAAACCUAUGCCAGGAGAAUGGGAGAAGAGGGCAAGAAGAGCAUGGCCUCAGGAUCCCAGAAUUGUCUGCUGUCAAUGAACAAGAAUGGGUUCAACAGUGAAGAGCCAUACACAGAGAGUGUACCUCAGAACUACAUGCUAAUACACAAUAACAGACUGAAUGAAGUGCAGAAUACCUUAUAAAGCCAUAGAGAAGAGGAAGCCAAUGUGCAGAAGAGAUAAUAGCUUGGGCACUGACCCUGCGAGACAUCUAACAAGUUGCUAUUAAUCUGAGAGAAGAAGAAUUUCCUCUUGCCUAUCAUACCUCAGGCAUAUCUCCUAACCACCAGACUAUUUGCCUUCUCACGUUUGGACCAAAAAUAUGUUCCUUUCCAAAAACUUCUAUUUUUCAGGUGUACUGCUGGAAGCAAUAAAUUUCAAAAUUGUGAUUGCAAAAUUU
Long non-coding RNA from Pezoporus flaviventris, 539 nucleotides. RefSeq lists it as uncharacterized. NCBI's taxonomy places the organism in Eukaryota, Metazoa, Chordata, Aves, Psittaciformes, Psittacidae. The record is from RefSeq and is a predicted model, not a curated record. The transcript is spliced from 3 exons.